Molecule: non-coding RNA, 5846 nt
Organism: Podarcis lilfordi (Lilford's wall lizard)
Lineage: Eukaryota; Metazoa; Chordata; Lepidosauria; Squamata; Lacertidae
Source: the annotation of a GenBank genome assembly
GCUACUCAGGCUGAUUUUAUAAAGAUUUUUAUAAUUUUAUACAUGUUUUUAAAGUCUGUUGAUUUUUGGUAUUUUUUAUAUAUAAACAGCUUGGUUUUAUUUUUUUAUUGAGUUGUGUAUAAAUCUUCUGAAAUAAAUAAAAAUGCAAAGCCAGUCCCCGAUCAUGAGUUGCAUCAUUGGAGGCCAAAUAAUAAAAUAAAAAUUAAACACUAGUGUAGAGCAGGAAGGGAUGGCGACUAAUAAAAUUCACAGGAAGUCUGUGGGUGAUUUAUUGAAGAAGGGAGAUGUGUGGACUGUGAGAUAAGAGCCCCAUGGGAGAUACAUCUUACUUACUCAUCACUGAUGGGUAACUCCAAAGGCUCACCCUAUUUCCUUGACUGUAAUUUUUUACAAAACAAAACAAAACAGAUUUUAAUGUUGUAAUUUUAAAUUACUGUAACCUGCUUUGGGACCUUAUGGUGAAAAGUGGGCAAGAAAAUGAAAUGAGGAUGAGUCAACCAUGCUACUGUAAAAUAGGAUUAGAAAUCACCACAAUGAAAAUCUCAGUUUUAAUAAUAAUAAUAAUAAUAAUAAUGUCUCAAGGACUUUGUGUUGUUAGCAUCCAUCUGUCUCAAGAGACAGGUGGACAAAGUACCCCAGAAGGUGCACAGUGUGUCCCCCACCAGAGGUACUACCCCUCCCCUAACACCCCUUUCACCCCACAGCGUUAAUAAAGGAAUCACAAUCAGCAGAUGAAGCUAUGAAGAGGAAGAUUACGGUACAGUAUUUUUCUUUCCUGGAAACAUUUACUGUAAUUUCAGCCGCAGGUGACUUUUAUGGGUCAUGCUUAUAUACCUUUACACUGUGUCAUUCUCCCUAGUUAUUUAUGGCUGAUUACUUCCCCCCGCCCCCUUUCUGAAGGCAUGAUGUCAGGAUUUGAGAAGCUUCAGUCUAAUGAUCUGUACAGCUGAAUACCAGAAGCAGUUUUAAAAAUGUAUUUCCUCCCCCCCCCCUUGGUUCCCAGGCAGUCAUGCGCUCUGGAAGAUGAAGCGAGGGGAGGAAUAUGCGGUACAAAAUUGUGUUUAUCUAUGUUAUGGUAACAGCUAGUUAGAAACAAGCCUUGAUGUUCUUUGAUUACUGUUAACUGCCUCAAGUGAAACUGAAGCAAAAUGCUUGUUCCUCUUAGCUUGAGAAGGCAACAUUUAUCAGGUUGGAGAAACCAAAGGACAGUCUUUUCCAAUUCUCACAAAACACGAUGAGGCAAUUACAUUACCAUUUUCUGUAGAAAGUAUUCUGCCUGUGAUGUUAAUUUUGUCUGGUUAUUUAGGGAGGGAAAAACACCCUUCAAUACAGGGAAGUAUUUCUAGAUUUUGAAACCCAGUCUCAUCAAUAACUCUCAUCAAUAAAGCUGAAACAAGGCUUCCAGGAAAUUUCCAGAAAUGCUGUUAGACCACAAAUUAGCAAAUUGUGCCUUUGUUGAGCAAAACACAAGUUGUGGCACUCAAGUUUGCACUGCUAGGUGGGUGAGAAUUCCUUGGGUGUGUAGAGGGAUAUGCGCUCCUGUGACUUCCGAGUUGACUUUGGGAUGCAGUAAAGCUUUGCAGCCAUCAGAAAGAUGUCCUAGACGUUAGCUAGAGCCACAAAAGAAUUGCAAUAUAAAAAAUGUUAAUUUUCACAAAAUCUCACAAUAGCCUUUUGAUUUCGUGAUCACAUCCGUAAUUGCUUUAGUCCAAAAGGUGGGACUCAACAUUUCAUGACAAAGCUGCUGGUGGUCUAGAUUAAGGUUAGCAGAUGUCCCCGUUUCCCGGGGACAGUCCCCAGAUUUACACAUCAGUCCCCAUACAAAAUCCAAUGAAGUUGAAAAGUGUCCCUGGAUUCAUUGAAAAAAAUCUGGUAACUUUAGUCUAGAUGCUAUAUGGAAUGCAAAAGAGAGUUUUUUAUGUAUUCAUUAAUGGGUUGCCGCAGGACUGCAAAUGCUAUGUUAUGCUGAAUAGUAUAAAAAUAUUGAAAAUCUUUUUCAAGGUAUCAAUUUUUUUCUUAAAACCACAAUUUUCUACAUCCUGGUUAUGCAGAGAAGUUGAAUGUGCACAUAUUUGCUUAUUUGCAUGAACAAUUCUGCUUCUGUCUGUGAUAAAGAGAUUCUGUGCAGACUAGUAAUGCACUUACAUGCCCUGACAAAUAGCAAUUCAUCUUGCAGUGCGGUCUUCAGCAUGUUUACUUGAAAGCAAAUUUCACUGAUCUCAGUGGGGGACUUUCUCUCCAAUAAGAACGCAUUUAUCAAUCAUUUACAGAUUAGAACUAUAAUGCUGUACUGUACUUCAGUGUUUCAUGAUUAUUAUUUGCUGUAUAAUUUUACCCAUUGAACCGCACUUUGAUAUUUUCAGAUUAUCAACAGCACGUGUCAUAACUAAAUGGCCCUACAUGCUUUCAAACUUUGCAGUUACGUGGGCUAGAAACUUGUUUUUUAGAUAAAAAGUCUUCGAAAGCUGAGAUGCUCAGUAUGCUGAAUUGAGCAUUUGAUGUCAAAUUCCAUGCUUGCAUGAUGCAGUGAUUAAAAGAAAACAGCCAUAGUUAUAUUAUGUGCUGUUAUGUAAUGUGAACUAGUUACACAUGGUGGCUAGAAUCACUAAAAUUUUGGCACCUUUAAAGACUAACACAUUUAUUGUGGCUUAAGGAUGUUUGUUGUAUGGGGUGUUAGGGGAGGAGUAGUACCUCUGGUGGAGACUCAUCAUGCUCCUUCUGGGGUAGUUUGUCCACCUUUAGUCCUGACGCUGCACUCAGCUCUCACCUGCGGCUCCUAGAAGCUGUCAGCAUGCAAAAGUGACCACAUCUCAGGAACAGCUACAACUGGCCAUCUAAACUGGGUGAGGGUAGCUGAUGGGCCUCAAACCCUCACUGAGAUAGAACUUCUUCUGCAUGCAAAGACAGGCUCUGGCGGAUUGGGCAGACAAGACUAACAGUGGGUCCAACGGUCAAGAAGGCGGUUUCUGCAUGUGCUGUAGAGGGAAAUGAGGGGCAGAUGGGGCUGGGAAGGUAGCUUAUCUAGGAUCCUACACCUCCGCUGCCUUGUGGGGUAUCUUCAGAAGAAGGAAAGGCACAGGAGUAAACCCUACACAAAUCCAGAGAGGAGUCCCUAAGGCAGUUGGAUGGCAGCUUGUACACCUUUUUUCCGGCAACGUAUUUCCUUUGAACAUCAGUGUGGCUGAGAGGGGGAUCUUGUCACAUGGGCAGUCCAGGACCUUCAUACAAACUGCCCAGGCUUGUGCCCCAGAGAGGUCACUUCGGUGAUGUUAACGCAGUGGUUUGAUUUCACCCAGAGACACAAUCCAUUGUCUCUUGAGAUGGAUGGAUGGAUGCCAGCAACAAGCAUGUUUGUGUAGAAAUGGCCAUAAAGAUCCAAAUAUAUACAAGUUGAGAACAAAAUGACCUUUCACAACUGCAGUCUUGGGUUGAAAUAAGCUCCUGCUUUCUAUACUAAACGAUCACCAUAAGCAGAAUAGUUUGUCUAGUGGGACAGAAACCCCCAACCUCACCUGAGCCUGAAUUCUAUUCUACAGAACUGUAUUUGCUAAUAAAUUCUACUUCAGCAGUUUCAUAUUGAAGAGUCCUUUUGAAGUUUAUUUUUCUUGAAGUCUGGUGACUGAGGUCAGCAGCAGUGUGUCCUGGGAAAGUGAAAUGUUCUCCCACUAAUUUCUGAACACUGCAAUUUUUAAUGUCACAUUUGUGUCCAUUCUCUUGCGUACAGGCUGACCUGUUCUGCUUUCGCUUUGUUCUUUCUUGUUUCAUCUUUAUACCACUAGAUACUGAAGAGGAGGCAGAAGAGAAAGCAGCACACUGCUCCUUUUCAUUUUGGGCCAAGUCACAUCACAGAACUGGGGCAGUGUCAGUGUUUCCUGCAAAGUAUACACCACAGAUGCGGAACCUCUGUUCCUAUAGGCCAGAUCAGCGCUGAGUGCAAAGCCUGCCGGAAUUGGCUUCACUCAAGAACUACUGAAUGGAGACAAUCCCUGCCACCUUGGUGUUAGCAGGGACCUUUGCAGCUGUGACUUGAAUUCAAGCAAGACUGAAAAGGAAGAGUUGUAUGCCAUCAGGGAACCAACAGAUGGUUGUCCCUACCACCUGCCUCAUGUGUGGGCCGGCCCUGCCAGUGCAUCCUGUAUUUGAAAGUCCCUGCCCUUUCUGAGGUGGAAAACUAAAGUCUCAGUUGCGUGCUGCUGGCUUUCAUGGCUGAACGCUGCUCUGUGCAAAUAAUAAUAAUCCUUGCGUACAUAAAGCUAGCUUCUCUCUGUGCCAUCUAUUUUUAUGAACUUGGUAGGAAUAUAUUUGUAUGGAGGAGUGUUCAAUCCUGUGAUCCUGUCUGCAUUCUGAAAUAGUAGCGCACAGAUGCAAGUUUACCUCCUCAGAGUACUAGGCCCUUGAUGCCAGAUACCUAAUCAAGUCCUUUCUCGUUCCAUUUGCCACUCCUGAUGUCUAAAGGCCUCAGACUGACAGGUAUUAGUAUUAGCAGCCCAGUGUGUGGCAGUAAAGCUAUCAAAUCUCAAGUCGUUUAAAGUAGGCAUUGUAUGCAAAGUCAUCAACAAGCUGAGGUCUGGCACUCUUGGUCACUUGCCAUGCCCUCAGUCAUUCUGUUCCUCCUCAUCUGGCUCGGAACAACCUGUCACUCAAAGCAGCCAAGGACUUAUCCUAGCUUGUGUAUGCAAUAGCUAGAAGGGGAAGCAGCAGAUGUAGUUUAUUUUGGAAAAACCCCAGGGGAGCCCUCUACCCUCGUUUACAUUUCAAAGACGAUGGGGUAACAUCUCCCUGCAUUCUCCCUUUUUAUUAAAGCUGGAUUUAGAACCGCCGGGACUAGAGUCCUCUUCAUGCUCACCUGAGCGUAAGACUCAUUGAACAUAGUGGGUCUUGCUUCCAAGUAAACAUGCAUAGGAUAGAGCCUCACAUGUGUAUAUCAUCAAUUGUCUACAAAGGACCCUGCAAUAUAAAAAUUCUUCUGUUGUUAAAUAUAUUAAAAACCAUCCUGUUAUUAAUGCUUUUCCUUCAGAGUCCUAGGAAUAAUUUCUUUCUUUCUUUCUUUCUUUCUUUCCUAGCUUCCCCCUUUGCUGUGUGGUCCUUCCUGUAGUUUUCAGACGUGAGCAGCACAUGAAAGAUCCACCCUUUGUUUGCUAUUAGGAAUGCGGUUUGGAAACCUGGAAUAUAUUCAAAAGUCUUGCUGUAUAGCAGAUCCAGCUUUUAGAAACACACUUGGUGGCAAUUGUGAACAAUUUUGAAAUCCUGGUCUUACUGUAACAUAUACCGCGUGGAUUUCAAGGGAUCGUGUUUAAGAUCACAACUGCACAGCCCAAUUCUGUGGGUAGCAUUUUGAGGAUAAAAUCACUUGCAUCCACCAAGACCUUGACUCUGCUGUUAUAGCAGAUGAAUCUCAUGGGAUGUUCAGAGCAUAGUCUAGUCCUGUUGUAUUGGAUGAGUUUCAGUUGGUAAGGCUCAAGGAUGUGGACAAGGUGCUUGGAUCAGUCAGGGCGACCACGUGCACUCUAGACCCUUGCCCCUCUUGGCUGAUAAAAACCAGCAGGGAGGGAACAGCUGACUGGGCCAGGGUGUUGAUUAAUGCCUCUUUACGAGAGGGGGUGGUCCCUGCCUGUUUGAAGGAGACAGUGGUAAAACCACUCCUUAAGAAACCUCCACUGGAUUCGGAAAACCUAACAAACUACCAGCCAGUUGCUAAUCUCUCUUUCCUGAGCAAGGUUCUGGAGCGAGUGGUCGCAGACCAGAUCCAGGUGCUUUUGGAAGAAACUCCGGGUAUAGUGUAGUAUAUGAAUUCAAUAAAUAAUAAUAUUUUUAAAAAAAUAAUAUUUAUUGCUUUUAAAAGUUAC